Molecule: long non-coding RNA, 897 nt
Organism: Ananas comosus (pineapple)
Lineage: Eukaryota; Viridiplantae; Streptophyta; Magnoliopsida; Poales; Bromeliaceae
Exons: 2
Source: RefSeq, a predicted model, not a curated record
GCCCAUAAUCUUCGUCCUCCUUGACCCUAUAAAAGAGCCCAGGUACUGUGAUUCUUUGCCCUACCUUUUGGUUUUGAUGAUCCAUAGAUGGAUCUGAGUUGUUGGUACACGUUCUCUUUGCGAUUCAUAGCAUUGGAGAACUUGGUUUUGGAAUUGCUUACCAAUUGAUUGUUGAAAUGCCCCAGAGAAGUGGAACUGUAGGGCAUCCUUCUAAAUACAGCCUAAAGAAUUUUUUGUUACAGGGCUUUCUACACUCCAUCGUUCUAUUACCUUUCCUUUUUCAGUAUUUGCUCUUCUCCAAAGAUUUCGAUAAGACGAGAUUGUUUUCAGCGGCGAAUCGGGCUAGGUCUUACAUGCUCUGCUAUCUAAACUUCUGGUUGAUUUUGUGAUCUUUCCAUUAUCUUAUCAGAAUGAAUAUAAGAAUCAGAUCUGAUUCUUGCGGUGCCUCCAAGAAACCUCUCAUUUGGAUUUCUUCUGAUUGAUUACAGGGAUUUAACAUAUUAGAAGGUUGAUUUUCACCAACGAGAUGCACUCGAGAGAAAGUACAACAACAGGAUCGGUCUUUGUUGCGAUAUAUUGGUUUCAUUUCGUUGCUGCGCUUUUCCUAUGCUGCUAUCCUAUCCAAGUUCCUUCCACCAUACCAAAGCCAUAUUUUGGCUGCCAUUCAAAAUGACAUGUGUAAAAAUUCUUAUUUUCUUGCUUUCUGAUACGUCCACGCAAUAUUGGUAUUAGCAUUUUUAACCACUCUAGGAAACUAUACGUGUGUGUAGCUAUGAGUUGAUCCAGAAUAUGUGCACUAGCAUUCAAAUUAGCCAUGUUCCCUCAAAUGAAAAUUUUCAUUUUCCUUUUUUUUUUUUUCACUUAUACAAUAAUGCAUGGUUAUUCAUAUUUCUUCUA